This is a non-coding RNA of Gossypium arboreum, 146 nucleotides long. Lineage: Eukaryota; Viridiplantae; Streptophyta; Magnoliopsida; Malvales; Malvaceae. The record is from Rfam.
UGUUAAAAUUUUUAUCUAUUUGUACUGUUAAAAAUUGAUGAGCUUGACGGAAUAACAAUACAGUGACAUAUGAGUGCGAUGUGUACAUCAUAUUAACACGUGCAGGGAUCAAUUUUUAACCCUAAAAAUUGAUGAAAUUUUUAUUA